Molecule: small nucleolar RNA, 108 nt
Organism: Lactuca sativa (garden lettuce)
Lineage: Eukaryota; Viridiplantae; Streptophyta; Magnoliopsida; Asterales; Asteraceae
Source: RefSeq, a predicted model, not a curated record
AGAUCAUGUUAGGGGAAAUUUCUGAGUAAACCCUUGUACCGCUCCCAUGCUUCGUAUAAAAGACUCCCCCAGUUGUUGCUCAAAGUUGGCUAUUGCCUUAUUGAGUUU